UACGUAGGGGGCAAGCGUUGUCCGGAUUCAUUGGGCGUAAAGAGCUCGUAGGCGGCUUGGCAAGUCGGGUGUGAAAACUCCAGGCUCAACCUGGAGACGCCACCCGAUACUGCCAUGGCUAGAGUCCGGUAGGGGACCACGGAAUUCCUGGUGUAGCGGUGAAAUGCGCAGAUAUCAGGAGGAACACCGGUGGCGAAGGCGGUGGUCUGGGCCGGAACUGACGCUGAGGAGCGAAAGCUAGGGGAGCAAACGGG
RNAcentral lists this ribosomal RNA (254 nucleotides) under uncultured bacterium. Its description in RNAcentral is "partial 16S ribosomal RNA". It matches the Rfam family "Bacterial small subunit ribosomal RNA", at positions 524 to 776 of the family's 1533-position model. The record is from RNAcentral.